UUCCAGCUCCAAUAGCGUAUAUUAAAGUUGUUGCAGUUAAAAAGCUCGUAGUUGGAGUUCAGAGUGAGCUCAAUCGGUCGGGAUUAUGUCUCAGAACUGGUUGACUCUCUCUUGUUUGUGGAUCCUGUUCGGAGUUAACUCUUCGGAUGUGGAGUCCACAUCGUUUACCUUGAAAAAAUUAGAGUGUUCAAAGCAGGCGUUUGCUUGAAUAUAUUAGCAUGGAAUAAUGGAAUAGGACGCUGGUUCUAUUUUGUUGGUUUUGAGAACCAGAGUAAUGAUUAAUAGGGACAGUUGGGGGCAUUCAUAUUUCAUUGUCAGAGGUGAAAUUCUUGGAUUUAUGAAAGAUGAACUUCUGCGAAAGCAUUUGCCAAGGAUGUUUUCAUCA
RNAcentral lists this ribosomal RNA (385 nucleotides) under Telonemia sp. RNAcentral describes it as "partial small subunit ribosomal RNA". It matches the Rfam family "Eukaryotic small subunit ribosomal RNA", at positions 583 to 975 of the family's 1831-position model. Lineage: Eukaryota; Telonemia. The record is from RNAcentral.